RNAcentral lists this ribosomal RNA (663 nucleotides) under Triticum aestivum (bread wheat). RNAcentral's name for it is "partial small subunit ribosomal RNA". Lineage: Eukaryota; Viridiplantae; Streptophyta; Magnoliopsida; Poales; Poaceae. The record is from RNAcentral.
GCUACUUGCACUAUCUACGGAUGCAGUGAUGAAGAUGAGUUUCAUGCUGUUGUGGAGUGCACAAAAAGCAGAGCAUUACGAGAUGCACUCAGAGAAAGUUGGGAGAUACCUCCAGAGCAUGCAUUCCGGCGUACUGGCCCUGAUUGGCUUCAGCUGUUGUUGAUUUCUGAAACUGAAGAAAUGAGAGCGAGGGUACUUAUGUUAUUUUGGAGGUGCUGGCACCUUCGCGAUGAUGUGGUGCAUGGGAAAGGAAAGGAACCUAUCAAACAAUUAGUCCUGUUCCUGUUGCAGUACGAGGAAGACUUGAGAAAUGCAGCGAUUAACUUUCUGUCUGACCUGGGAAAGGGGCCUGUGACCAUGGCCAACCAAAUGCCCAAACAGCCAGAUCAGAGGUGCAUUCAGUGGACUGCUCCUCCACUUGGAUCUAUCAAACUAAAUUCAGAUGCGUCCUACUGUCCAGACAGAGGUGAAUGCUGGGCGGGUGUCGUCGCCAGAGAUCACAGUGGUCAGGUUGUUCUGUCAGUUGGGAAACAGAUGCAGGCAUCGAGCAAUGUGGAAGAGGCCGAAGCGAGAGCAGCCCUGAUGGGUUUGCAUACGCUAGCCGCAGUGUACAAGGGCCCGGUUGAAGUGGAAAUGGACUGCAAAUCUGUAAUAAGGACUUAA